CCUACGGGUGGCUGCAGUGGGGAAUAUUGCACAAUGGGCGCAAGCCUGAUGCAGCCAUGCCGCGUGUGUGAAGAAGGCCUUCGGGUUGUAAAGCACUUUCAGCGGGGAGGAAGGCGGUGAGGUUAAUAACCUCAUCGAUUGACGUUACCCGCAGAAGAAGCACCGGCUAACUCCGUGCCAGCAGCCGCGGUAAUACGGAGGGUGCAAGCGUUAAUCGGAAUUACUGGGCGUAAAGCGCACGCAGGCGGUCUGUCAAGUCGGAUGUGAAAUCCCCGGGCUCAACCUGGGAACUGCAUUCGAAACUGGCAGGCUAGAGUCUUGUAGAGGGGGGUAGAAUUCCAGGUGUAGCGGUGAAAUGCGUAGAGACCUGGAGGAAUACCGGUGGCGAAGGCGGCCCCCUGGACAAAGACUGACGCUCAGGUGCGAAAGCGUGGGGAGCAAACAGGAUUAGAUACCCUUGUAGUC
This 465-nucleotide ribosomal RNA is filed under the name uncultured Klebsiella sp. Its description in RNAcentral is "bacterial SSU rRNA". It matches the Rfam family "Bacterial small subunit ribosomal RNA", at positions 338 to 795 of the family's 1533-position model. The record is from RNAcentral. Lineage: Bacteria; Pseudomonadati; Pseudomonadota; Gammaproteobacteria; Enterobacterales; Enterobacteriaceae.